GCACACGGAGACGGUUCCAGUUCCCCACAGCAGCCCUGCCUGUAAUGCCAACAGCUGAAAACAACCAAAAUGAACAGGAGAAUCAACAUGAGAACCGUGGUGUGUUACAACUGCUACAGAGCAAUGAAAAGAAACAAACCACGAUUACACCAAUGAGGAUGAGGCUCCCAGACUUAAUGGGCUGUUCCAUGGAAAGAGAAGCACACAUUUGGUGUCAGGAGUAUGAAGUUAAGGAAGUUAUAGAGCAACUGAGACUCGGCUAGAUGUAAGGAAGAACUUCCUGCCAGUGCCAGUG
Molecule: long non-coding RNA, 295 nt
Organism: Bos taurus (domestic cattle)
Lineage: Eukaryota; Metazoa; Chordata; Mammalia; Artiodactyla; Bovidae
Source: Ensembl